RNAcentral lists this ribosomal RNA (600 nucleotides) under uncultured bacterium. Its description in RNAcentral is "bacterial SSU rRNA". It matches the Rfam family "Bacterial small subunit ribosomal RNA", at positions 744 to 1345 of the family's 1533-position model. The record is from RNAcentral.
CGCUAAUGCUCGAAAGUGCGGGUAUCGAACAGGAUUAGAUACCCCUGGUAGUCCGCACGGUAAAACGAUGGAUGCCCCGCUGUUGGCGAUACAGUGUCAGCGGCCAAGCGAAAGCGUUAAGCAUCCCACCUGGGGAGUACGCCGGCAACGGUGAAACUCAAAGGAAUUGACGGGGGCCCGCACAAGCGGAGGAACAUGUGGUUUAAUUCGAUGAUACGCGAGGAACCUUACCCGGGCUUGAACUGCAGGAGAACGAUUCAGAGAUGAUGAGGUCCUUCGGGACUCCUGUGGAGGUGCUGCAUGGUUGUCGUCAGCUCGUGCCGUGAGGUGUCGGCUUAAGUGCCAUAACGAGCGCAACCCCUUUCUUCAGUUGCCAUCAGGUUAUGCUGGGCACUCUGGAGACACUGCCACCGUAAGGUGUGAGGAAGGUGGGGAUGACGUCAAAUCAGCACGGCCCUUACGUCCGGGGCUACACACGUGUUACAAUGGGUGGUACAGAGAGCGGGCUGCCUGCAAAGUCAGCCGAAUCAUGAAAGCCAUCCUCAGUUCGGAUUGGGGUCUGCAACCCGACCCCAUGAAGCUGGAUUCGCUAGUAAUCGC